Molecule: unclassified non-coding RNA, 345 nt
Filed under: soil metagenome
Description: partial contains 5.8S ribosomal RNA, internal transcribed spacer 2, and large subunit ribosomal RNA
Rfam family: 5.8S ribosomal RNA (bases 1-120)
Source: RNAcentral
GAUGAAGAACGCAGCGAAAUGCAAUACGUAAUGUGAAUUGCAGAAUUCAGUGAAUCAUCGAGUCUUUGAACGCACAUUGCGCCCCCUGGUAUUCCGGGGGGCAUGCCUGUCCGAGCGUCAUUGCUGCCCUCAAGCACGGCUUGUGUGUUGGGCCUCCGUCCUCCUCCCGGGGGACGGGCCCGAAAGGCAGCGGCGGCACCGCGUCCGGUCCUCGAGCGUAUGGGGCUUCGUCACCCGCUCUUGUAGGCCCGGCCGGCGCUUGCCGACACAUCAAUCUUUUUUCCAGGUUGACCUCGGAUCAGGUAGGGAUACCCGCUGAACUUAAGCAUAUCAAUAAGCGGAGGA